CUAGAACAUCCUCUCAGAACUGCAGAGGACUGAGUGAUUUCACAGCUGCUGCUGUCUUGUGUUUUCAUUUCUCUACGGUUUUACAGGGACACUGUUCUAGUACCUAUAUAAGAAAAUGGACACGCACACGCUUGCAUAGACGCACUUGCAUCCACACACGUACCUGCUUCUCAUCAUGAAGGGCAAAGCAAAGCUGCGGAUAAAUGUGCCGCAGGUGAGAUGGGAAUGCUGGAGGGAGAGAUGUUUUCAAUUGUCCUCUCCUGACACGGCUUGAAGAUCUAAUCUCAGGAAUGACACAGGAAUCUGAGAGUCUGCUACAAUGGCAGCGGCGGUGUGUGCUUCACAGGAGGGACUACAAGCCAUGCUCCACUCGUCCAUCUUUGGUGAUCAGAUCAUCGGUGGCGUUGUCGGCUGGAUACCCAGGCUACUAAGAAUGAGUCUUCAUAGGACAGUCAUACAGAGAACCCGGCCUACCUCGACUGCAGCCUAAGACUUGG
This 497-nucleotide long non-coding RNA is filed under the name Astyanax mexicanus (Mexican tetra). RNAcentral describes it as "lncRNA (ENSAMXG00005022843.1)". Lineage: Eukaryota; Metazoa; Chordata; Actinopteri; Characiformes; Acestrorhamphidae. The record is from RNAcentral.